GUGGGGAAUAUUGGGCAAUGGGCGAAAGCCUGACCCAGCAACGCCGCGUGAAGGAAGAAGGUUUUCGGAUCGUAAACUUCUAUCCUUGGUGAAGAUAAUGACGGUAGCCAAGAAGGAAGCCCCGGCUAACUACGUGCCAGCAGCCGCGGUAAUACGUAGGGGGCAAGCGUUGUCCGGCAUGAUUGGGCGUAAAGGGCGCGUAGGCGGCCCGGUAAGUCUGAAGUGAAAGUCCUGCUUUUAAGGUGGGAAUUGCUUUGGAUACUGUCGGGCUUGAGUGCAGGAGAGGUAAGCGGAAUUCCCGGUGUAGCGGUGAAAUGCGUAGAGAUCGGGAGGAACACCAGUGGCGAAGGCGGCUUACUGGACUGUAACUGACGCUGAGGCGCGAAAGUGUGGGGAGCAAACAGGAUUAGAAACCCGUGUAGUCC
RNAcentral lists this ribosomal RNA (425 nucleotides) under uncultured bacterium. RNAcentral's name for it is "partial 16S ribosomal RNA". It matches the Rfam family "Bacterial small subunit ribosomal RNA", at positions 354 to 796 of the family's 1533-position model. The record is from RNAcentral.